Molecule: non-coding RNA, 84 nt
Organism: Mycena epipterygia
Lineage: Eukaryota; Fungi; Basidiomycota; Agaricomycetes; Agaricales; Mycenaceae
Source: the annotation of a GenBank genome assembly
GACCCAGUGGCGAAAUGUAUCGCGCCCAAAGAGAGCGAUCUUAUGUAAUCGCGGGAGUCCCUGGUUCGAAUCCAGGCUAGGUCA